UUUAAAACUUGGGGUUGACUUUGAUGGUGAUUGUGUACAUAUAUAAGGUUCUUACAACUUAGAGCUUCACAAGGAGGGUGGGGGUUGCUUUUAGGAUUGUUUGGGGUUCAUUUGGAAAGUCAUUUAUUUCUGAAUGUUUUUAUGUACCUUUUCCAAAAAUUACCAAUUAAGCUUACUAGGACUUAACGUUUUCUUUAUUCAUUUAAACCGUUUCAUUUUCCAAAAUUUGUUUCCAUAUUCAAACAGUAACAUAAGAUACUGAGAAAAUAGCAGUAUCUCACUCAGGUUAUCAAUGAGUUACUAUAAAAAUUUGGGAUCCAUUAGAUUAGUACAAAA
RNAcentral lists this long non-coding RNA (336 nucleotides) under Setaria viridis. RNAcentral describes it as "long non-coding RNA (SVIR_LNC010682)". Lineage: Eukaryota; Viridiplantae; Streptophyta; Magnoliopsida; Poales; Poaceae. The record is from RNAcentral.